UGGCUCAAUUGGUAGAGCAUGGUGUGUGCAACGCCAGGGUUGUGGGUUCGAUUCCCAU
RNAcentral lists this transfer RNA (58 nucleotides) under Salmo salar (Atlantic salmon). It matches the Rfam family "tRNA", at positions 8 to 63 of the family's 71-position model. From Rfam's summary of the family: Transfer RNA (tRNA) molecules are approximately 80 nucleotides in length. Lineage: Eukaryota; Metazoa; Chordata; Actinopteri; Salmoniformes; Salmonidae. The record is from Rfam by way of RNAcentral.